This is a long non-coding RNA of Stylophora pistillata, 2094 nucleotides long. Lineage: Eukaryota; Metazoa; Cnidaria; Anthozoa; Scleractinia; Pocilloporidae. The record is from RefSeq and is a predicted model, not a curated record.
GCUUGUCUGCUUUAUAUUUAGAGUCACGAAUGACAGUCGACUGAAUAGGUAAAGCUAUCAUCGGGAGAAAAUCACCGCCAUGUAUCAUUGAGAAUUAGAUGUUGUCUUAUUCACGCCUGCUUGAAGGAGAGAUUACGUUAUAUUCUUUCCUUUCGCAACGAAUGUACUUUGUCAAGGAGACAGUUCACGAGACUACUGAAGUAACUGAAUAAUCCUUUCCGAAUAUAACUUGAUGAAAUAGAAAUUUCUCCCAAGCAACUUACAAAAAGGUGUACGGAAGCGGGUAAAAAGAACAUAGAACUGAAAGGAUAAAAGCAAUUGAAUGGCAUUUUGAAGAGUCAAAACACUUGAGGGAAGACAGCCAGUUAAUCGUUUUACGCGUAUACUGCAGUGUACGACCUUAUCAAAGUUCAAAAUUCCACGGCAAGUUGGGAGCAAAUUUUUCCAAUGUAAUAACUCCCAAAUCAACCUGCCAAUAAAGUUAAUAUAUCAGCAACCAAGACAACAGGUGCUAUUGUUCCACCAAUUGACGGAAGAUCUCAUCGAUGCUACGAAUUUUUAUUCAAAGUUACGUGAUUGUAAUGCUCUAUAUUGAAACACUGGAGUUAAGCCGACUGCGUAUUUCAGGAAGAAAAUUGACGCGCAUCGGGUUUGAUUCAAAGACGAAUCUUCUUACACUUCUUGCUGAAAGAAACAGUACAAGAAAAUCUCCAUUACAUGGCGUCCCUUGACGACGCUGAAGAAGCCUUAAAAUCAACAAAUGCCAAAGCAAAUUAUCAUCGGCUGACACGACUAUCGAUGUGUGGCGGUGUAAAGCUUUUACGGGAGACGUUUGAUUCCACUUACUCACCAGCCUAUCUGCCUUUGAAGCUAAGUGAUCCUGUUGUACAGACAGAGCUGCGAAGAGCGAAACUCUCCAAACCAGAGUGGGACUGUCCGUAUCCAUCCACGGGACUGUAUGGCAAGUCAAAGAAUUUUGACAUCACAUCAAUCUUCAAGUUAUUAAGGAAAAUUUGUAACCUGACCCCACCCCCUGACGGAUGGGACGGAUUACCGAAAUACAUAUCACAGCCUGGAAGCAGAUUUAGUACGAAUAAAAUAUUAUCGAAAUGAAGUCAUCGUCACUGUCCAACUAAGGAAAUAUCUCCCACUGAGUUUGUUCGCCUUUGGAAUAGUAUAAGUGAGGUUUUGUUGCGAAUCGCAGCAAACAUCAGUGCUGUGAAGAGAGAUGAGUGGAAGAAGUCCAUCGAUGAUCUCCUUCACAAUCCUCUAACGCCAGAAGAAAAACAAAAAAACCAAGAACUUAACAUGUGGUACCAAAAUGACAGGGAUCUAAAAGCUGAAGUAGAAAAACUCACAGAGAUGGUGAAAACUUUUCAAUAUCAAAAGGGGCUGUAAAAGGAUUAACAAUGAGACUAAUAAUGAAGUAUGAGUUUGAAUCUUGAACGUGUUUUUCAGGUGAUUGUUUCAUAGUUCAAGUUAUUUUUUUUUCGUUUUCUUUUUUUGUGGAUACAGCUUUUUAGGGCGUUAAGAAUUAAGAAUUUUCUCUAACUCGGCUAGCGUUGAAGCUCAGGUGUCAGUUGUCUUCUUGAGUAAAAGAUCUAUUAUUAUUGUAUUAAUUUUUAUCAUCAGAAAUACUGAUUACGCUUCAGACUGGACAUAAAAAUGAGCAGACACAAUAACGCCACAAGUUUUGGAAAAGCUUGGUCUCACUGAGGUGGACCUGAGAACCUUUAUUUCCGAGGAAGAGUAUGAAAAAGGAAAAUAGACCUUUGAGGCAAACUUAGGAGAGCAUCACAAGUAUACCUAUAUUCAAGUCUUUCACUAUUUGCGGCUUUUCCUGUCUUAGUGAACAUAACCAGGGAAAGUAGUGCUGAAAAAAUAUCAUAGCUUCUAUCCUAAUUAUAUGUUAUGAAAUCGAGCUAGUUGCUGGUCUUGAAGGUCUUUGAUCAGAUAUGAGUGUAUCAAAACCACAAGUGACUGUAAGGUUGGAGAAAUUGUCUAUUUUGAUUCGAUUUUUGUUUUAUUCGAAGAAUUGAAAACGAGUGAAAGUAAAAGCGUAAGUCAAGCCUUGUUGGAGCAAUACAUGGUACC